This 1662-nucleotide ribosomal RNA is filed under the name Salmonella enterica subsp. enterica serovar Montevideo. Its description in RNAcentral is "partial 23S ribosomal RNA". It matches the Rfam family "Bacterial large subunit ribosomal RNA", at positions 1 to 1694 of the family's 2925-position model. Lineage: Bacteria; Pseudomonadati; Pseudomonadota; Gammaproteobacteria; Enterobacterales; Enterobacteriaceae. The record is from RNAcentral.
GGGUUGUGAGGUUAAGCGACUAAGCGUACACGGUGGAUGCCCUGGCAGUCAGAGGCGAUGAAGGGCGUGCUAAUCUGCGAUAAGCGCCGGUAAGGUGAUAUGAACCGUUAUAACCGGCGAUACCCGAAUGGGGAAACCCAGUGUGAUUCGUCACACUAUCAUUAACUGAAUCCAUAGGUUAAUGAGGCGAACCGGGGGAACUGAAACAUCUAAGUACCCCGAGGAAAAGAAAUCAACCGAGAUUCCCCCAGUAGCGGCGAGCGAACGGGGAGGAGCCCAGAGCCUGAAUCAGCAUGUGUGUUAGUGGAAGCGUCUGGAAAGGCGCGCGAUACAGGGUGACAGCCCCGUACACAAAAGCGCAUGUGCUGUGAGCUCGAUGAGUAGGGCGGGACACGUGGUAUCCUGUCUGAAUAUGGGGGGACCAUCCUCCAAGGCUAAAUACUCCUGACUGACCGAUAGUGAACCAGUACCGUGAGGGAAAGGCGAAAAGAACCCCGGCGAGGGGAGUGAAAAAGAACCUGAAACCGUGUACGUACAAGCAGUGGGAGCACCCUUUGGGGUGUGACUGCGUACCUUUUGUAUAAUGGGUCAGCGACUUAUAUUCUGUAGCAAGGUUAACCGUAUAGGGGAGCCGGAGGGAAACCGAGUCUUAACCGGGCGUUAAGUUGCAGGGUAUAGACCCGAAACCCGGUGAUCUAGCCAUGGGCAGGUUGAAGGUUGGGUAACACUAACUGGAGGACCGAACCGACUAAUGUUGAAAAAUUAGCGGAUGACCUGUGGCUGGGGGUGAAAGGCCAAUCAAACCGGGAGAUAGCUGGUUCUCCCCGAAAGCUAUUUAGGUAGCGCCUCGUGAACUCAUCUCCGGGGGUAGAGCACUGUUUCGGCUAGGGGGCCAUCCCGGCUUACCAACCCGAUGCAAACUGCGAAUACCGGAGAAUGUUAUCACGGGAGACACACGGCGGGUGCUAACGUCCGUCGUGAAGAGGGAAACAACCCAGACCGCCAGCUAAGGUCCCAAAGUCAUGGUUAAGUGGGAAACGAUGUGGGAAGGCCCAGACAGCCAGGAUGUUGGCUUAGAAGCAGCCAUCAUUUAAAGAAAGCGUAAUAGCUCACUGGUCGAGUCGGCCUGCGCGGAAGAUGUAACGGGGCUAAACCAUGCACCGAAGCUGCGGCAGCGACGCUGAUGCGUUGUUGGGUAGGGGAGCGUUCUGUAAGCCUGCGAAGGUGGCCUGUGAGGGUUGCUGGAGGUAUCAGAAGUGCGAAUGCUGACAUAAGUAACGAUAAAGCGGGUGAAAAGCCCGCUCGCCGGAAGACCAAGGGUUCCUGUCCAACGUUAAUCGGGGCAGGGUGAGUCGACCCCUAAGGCGAGGCCGAAAGGCGUAGUCGAUGGGAAACGGGUUAAUAUUCCCGUACUUGGUGUUACUGCGAAGGGGGGACGGAGAAGGCUAUGUUGGCCGGGCGACGGUUGUCCCGGUUUAAGCGUGUAGGUGUGUGUUCCAGGUAAAUCCGGUUCACUUUAACACUGAGGCGUGAUGACGAGGCACUACGGUGCUGAAGCAACAAAUGCCCUGCUUCCAGGAAAAGCCUCUAAGCAUCAGGUAACAUCAAAUCGUACCCCAAACCGACACAGGUGGUCAGGUAGAGAAUACCAAGGCGCUUGAG